This is a long non-coding RNA of Equus caballus (horse), 5078 nucleotides long. NCBI's taxonomy places the organism in Eukaryota, Metazoa, Chordata, Mammalia, Perissodactyla, Equidae. The record is from Ensembl.
CAUAAAUGAAGACGGGAGCGGUGGGAACGAGUGUUUUAAGUCCUCUCAGUCAGACCUAUUCCAGGAGAAUUUAUCUGAAACGCAGAGCAACCCAGAGUAAACUUGUCUUAUGAUCAUGAAUUUUGGCAAAAUAUCAAGAAAUUUGGAAAGUGAUCAAAUUCCUUUCACCUUCAAGAAAGAGAAGUAUGAGGUCGACUACCUUCAUAAAGCUAGAAGAAGUUGCAAAAAAUAGCUGAAGACGUCCACAAUUUCUUGGAUUCUCCACUCAAACAACGAAAAGGAAAGCGUCCUCCGUGGUGGUGUUUCUCUGAAGAACUGGCUGGAGGAACGCCGUUUGAACUGAGACCGUUGGCGCUGCAGAUCUCUGUGGCAGAUAGAAAGAGAGAACAUGGAAGCAAGUGAGGUGUCCAAGGACUUCAUCACAAACACCGAAUUCCAAUCUUUAUUACCAGACGAAAUUUUUCCUGAGUCAUCCAAGGAAGACAAACGUUUGCUGUUGGCUGGUCACGGCUUCCGUCUUGACUGCUUCAUCUGCGAAUCCGAUGAGUCGUAACAAUCCGGGCACAUUUUCCCCCAUGGAAAGUAUGAGAGGGUGUGUGUGAGUCCAAGAUGAACUAUGGGAAGGAAAGGAAAAUGCAUGAGGACUGUUGACUUCGAUGGAAUCCCUAUUUGAAGAGUUCAUUUGUCCGUGAUAGUGUGGUGCUGAAGAGUAGCCAAAGAUACACUGUUUCAACUAACAGUUUCUCUACAUUAGGGUGGUGGUACCAGCACUAGCACUACACGCAUCUCCUCCCAGCUCUGCCUUAAUGCCACAGGCCCCCGCCCAGUACCCAAGGCCAACAGCCCAGUGCAAAAGGACACAACACGCUAAGAGGAGACUUGUGAAAAUCACCCAAAGCCAAAGCAGAAAAUAUACCAAGUGCGGACUUUGAAUGAGACUUAUUCAGUACUCUACUCCGACAUUUCGUCAGAAAUUUAUCAAAUGACUUUUUGGAUGUUUCUCUUCUUAGUGCGCUAGUCAUCAAAAGUCGAGAUCUGCAAGCCACACCAAGACAAGCUUCAAACAAAGAACCUGUUCUCACAACCUAUGAUCAUCCGCCACCCCAGGUUCCAGAAAGGUAACCUGAGGCAUCUGAGGUCCUACAAAUCCGAAGGUCAUGCUCUGUCUGGAAACAGUCAAAUAUAAUCUGUGAUAUGCCAGCCAUCAGCUUGCUUCGGACAAAGGAUAAAGAAGAAGUCAAGUUUCCAUCCUAACUCUCCCCAAACAGGUGAGGGAAGAGGCAUGAAGGAAGUCCCACAGCCACACCAGGAGACAUAAUCAGAGCCAGAUGCCAAGCUUUCUGAAUCAAGUGGACUCACAUGCCAUAAAAAUGAGUGGUUUAUUAUAGGCCUCUAAUUAACAAAAUAUGGUUUUUACAUACAGCCAACAGAGUGUACCCCACUGUGUGCCCAUAAAACACGCUUGGCAAAUUGGAAAUAACAGAAUGGCCAUUUUCACCACAUUAAGAAGACUGAGCUCGAGUUUUGUAUUACGUCUACCUUGCAUCAACCCUACAAGGAGCAAAGUCAAAUAGUCAGUCAAUAUUUAGUACAUCAUUCACUUAAUAAAAUCUUUUGAGUGUUUACUGUAAGCAAAACUAACAUACGCAGAAUCGUUGGAAGUAAAAACUUGACUCCAUCUAUAGCCCAAAUUUCAGGCAUGCCUUUAAAUUACAACUAUUUUGUUUAAAAUUUUGUCAAAUGGCCAUUUUGUAAAUUAACUUACUAAAAUGACCGUUCAGGGACAGAGGACAGACAGGAUCAUCUGGGGCCAUAUUAUUCCUCCAUUGUCCCUUUAGAGAGCCUGUUCAACUGUCACAAAACAAGGCAGUAUAAAUGUGGCUCCAGUGCUCAUCAACUCUUUCUUAAUACUGCUCUCAUUAUAUUAAUACUCAAGGACAGCGAUGAUGGUCGUGACAAGCGUCAUAAAUGAUGAAGUACUGCAUCUUCGCGAGGUAAUUGAUUGAGGCACAUUCAGGCUAUUGAGCUUUCCACAAUUGGCAGGUGUGUCUUUUAUAAAAUCCCAGAUCAAGGGCCAGCCUGGGUAGCCCAGUGGUUAAGUUCAGCACGCUCUGCUUUUUUUGGUGGCUCGGGUUCAGUUCCUGGGCGCAGACCUACACCACUCUGUUAGUGGCCAUGCUGUGCUGGCAGCCCACAUACUAAAAAGUAGAGGAAGAUUGGCACUGAUGUUCACUCAGGGUGAAUCUUCCAUAAGAAAAUUAAAAAAUAAAAAUAAUUUUAAAAACCCCAAGUCUAAAGAAAGAGAGAAAGGUCUUCACUGGCCUCCGUGGUCCACAGCUCCUCUAUAUACAGUGUGAGAAGGACAGCUCUGGGACCAGGCGAGGCUCUCUAUGGCUCUGUUCCUUAGGAGUGGGGGCAGCAGCUGCAUCACUUACACGCAUGGUGGCAUUCCACUGCCAGCAUCUGCCAGCCACUGCUGAACUGCGCUAACUGAGAAGUAAAACUCCUUGCCAGUGAGUGCACUGAUUGGCGUGCCGAGAGCCGACUCCCAGCAGUAGAGAGGCCUGCAGCCAGAGGACAAUCGAUGACGAUGAACAGGUCAAAUAAAAGCAUGUUCCUGGGGUCCAACUUGGUUUUGAAAGCUGAAGUGUCCUGAUCGUAUCCAGUUAACCACAUGUAGGGCUGCUGUAUUUUCUCUGCUCUGAAAACGCAGGUGUUACCACACCAGGAAGUUGGCUGCGUUAGGAGGUUCUCGAAAGCGCUGCUUCUGGUACUAAGGUCCCACUUAUUGGUAGCCCCACGCCCCUCGCAUCCCUUCUCACAGUCUCUCAAGCCCCAUGUGGAGUAUGGAAUUGAAUAAACAAGGUUCCAUCCAGAGAAGACCAAGUCCUCCUUAUGCGUAUUCAUUCCUGGAGAGUGCUAAGCAUCUCUUCUGAGACGGACUGAGAAUGCCCUGUAAGAAACCAUGUCUGAAAGCAGAGCACAGUCUCUGGGAGGAGCUUCCUGGUGCUGGAAACAACAAGGGUAUGAUUUCUAUUAAUCUGCGAAAAUGCACUCGUUCAAAUGAGAGAAGUGGAUGGAUAAAAAACUCAUCAGGGUAUGUUGAUGCCACACUCCUACUCCUUUAGGUAUUGUCUUGUAGAUUUCAACCAACAAUCAAGUAUCAACACUAAGCAUCAAUCAAUAAUCUAGUAAUCAUCAAGUAUCAAUUGAUCAACAUUUAUUAUCUAUUCUUUGCUAGAAAGGGAUGUAAGAUAAAAACAAGACAUUUUCCCUACCCUUUUUAUAUUUAAGGCAUACGUAAUUCGCUUAAUAAAAACUUUUAAGUAUAUACUCUAGGCAAAACUAACAUACAUAGAAUCAUUGGAAAUAAAAGCUGGACUCUAUCUGUAGCCCAAAUUUCAGACAUGCUUUUAAAUCUCCAAACAAAUUUAAACUUUUUUUUCCAUAUAGAGAACAUUCAAAUAUUUAAAGAUAAUAUACAUAUUGUCUUCUUUGUUCCAGGCUAAAAUUUUUUUAACUGUUUCUCAUAUGAUAAGAUUUUUUAAAUCAUGCCCCAUCUUAAUUAUCUCUAAAUACUCUCCCAUUUUAAGCAUCAUUCUUAAUAUGAUCUGGCUCUAUGCCUUCACUCUAUGAAACUCUACCUUCUUAUCUGUGAAAUGGCAGAGUUAGGCUAGAUUAAUAAGAUUGUAUCCUCCUAUCAUUAAAAAAACUGAUUUGAACAAACUUCCGCUCCCAUAGGUCUACGCAUCUAUGCAAUAUCCUCCGAGAGCACUGUCUUCACAUCAGACAUGUUGAAAAGAGAUUAGGAUUGCGUGGCAACCACCGUAAAGGAUGUGGUUUCUAGAGAAUUUGUCAGGAACAGAGGUCGUAUGUUGUCUAGUGUGACAGAUGGACGGAUUCAUUUACAAGGUCACCAGAUGCGUGACCUACAAAGGCUCUUAGCUCUUCGGGUCCAACUCACUCUUUUUACUGAGUGGAAAAGAGAUCCAGGUGCCAAGUCACUUGUUCACGAGCAACACUGUGUGUAGCAUACUUAUUUUCCAAAAACGUUAGCAGCACGAUUUCUGAUCCCACCUGGUCUUAGAGACCCUUGCCACACCUCCAUCAAGAAGUAGGGUCUGUCUCCCCUCUCCUGGUGACAGCUUCCAGGAAGAGAAUGCAGCAGAAGUGAUGCUGUGUGAGUUCCGAGGCUAGAUCAUAAUAGGCCACGUGGCACAUGGCUCCCUCUCUCUGUCUCAUUCAUCUCUCUGCACAUCUUUGGAGCCCUGAACCACCACAUAAGAAUUCUGGUUUUCCAGAAGCCAACAAACUAGAGAGACCACGUAGAGAGACCAAAGAGAGGCAUCGGAGAGCCCCGCUGGCCAGCCUCCAGCUGUUUGCAUCUUCCCAGCUCAGGAGUCAAAGACAGUCUACAUUCUUAACACCAUGUGGUAUUGGAUGCCCUGCUGGGGAAUGGAUGCCUAACCGAAGAGGCAAUAGAAAAAACGUUGUUUUUAAAGAGAGGACUAAUAUAAUACAGUGGACUUCUCAUCAAAGAGACAUGAGGAGGAGAUGAGAGUUCAGUAUGAAGACUCUACAAACGGACUCAAAAACCUUUGGAUACCUUCUUGAAACAGCCCCAAACUCAUAUUCUUUUUCUGAAAAGUCACUUGGUCCCAUUUUUGAACCUGUAGAGUGAUAAUAAAUUACCCUCGUCACCACCCUCCUCACUAGGAUAUUGAAAGAAUUAAUGAGAUAGUGUCUGUUAAAUGCUUUGAGCUUAUUGGAAGGUGUCAAGAAAGAAAAAUAAGAAAUACUAUUAUCUUUGAAGCCCUUCUAAUCCAAUGAGCUUCAGCGAAGCCUAAAAAUACCUCCAGUCUCUCUUCAAAUCUUUUUCUCCCUAACUUUUAAAGGUUGGCAUGACUGAUUCAUCUACCAUUACUAAAAGCAGUCAACAAAAUGGAAAAGAAAAGCUUCAUGCAAAUUGCUCUGUGUUUCUGCACAGGAGGUUAUGCAGAGCAAAGAAUACAACCUACUUCCUGUCCCCCCUAUAGCUCAGGGCCCUAUCUGGUUAUGUGGCUGUAACUUAUCCUCAC